This 440-nucleotide ribosomal RNA is filed under the name uncultured bacterium. Its description in RNAcentral is "partial 16S ribosomal RNA". It matches the Rfam family "Bacterial small subunit ribosomal RNA", at positions 338 to 795 of the family's 1533-position model. The record is from RNAcentral.
CCUACGGGCGGCAGCAGUAGGGAAUAUUGCUCAAUGGGGGAAACCCUGAAGCAGCAACGCCGCGUGGAGGAUGAAGGUUUUAGGAUUGUAAACUCCUUUUGUUAGAGAAGAUUAUGACGGUAUCUAACGAAUAAGCACCGGCUAACUCCGUGCCAGCAGCCGCGGUAAUACGGAGGGUGCAAGCGUUACUCGGAAUCACUGGGCGUAAAGAGUGCGUAGGCGGGGUAAUAAGUCAGAUGUGAAAUCCUGUAGCUUAACUACAGAACUGAAUUUGAAACUGUUACUCUGGAGUGUGGGAGAGGUAGGUGAAAUUCUUGGUGUAGGGGAAAAUUCCGAAGAGAACAAGAGGAAUACUCAUUGGGAGGGGGACCUGCUGAAACAUUCCUGCCGCGGAUGCACGAAGGCGGGGGGAGAAAACAGGAUUAGAUCCCCCAGUAGGC